This 497-nucleotide ribosomal RNA is filed under the name uncultured bacterium. RNAcentral describes it as "partial 16S ribosomal RNA". It matches the Rfam family "Bacterial small subunit ribosomal RNA", at positions 28 to 507 of the family's 1533-position model. The record is from RNAcentral.
GAUGAACGCUGGCGGCGUGCCUAAUACAUGCAAGUCGAGCGAACAGAUGAGGAGCUUGCUCCUCUGACGUUAGCGGCGGACGGGUGAGUAACACGUGGAUAACCUACCUAUAAGACUGGGAUAACUUCGGGAAACCGGAGCUAAUACCGGAUAAUAUAUUGAACCGCAUGGUUCAAUAGUUAAAGACGGUUUUGCUGUCACUUAUAGAUGGUUCCGCGUCGCAUUAGCUAGUUGGUAAGGUAACGGCUUACCAAGGCAACGAUGCGUAGCCGACCUGAGAGGGUGAUCGGCCACACUGGAACUGAGACACGGUCCAGACUCCUACGGGAGGCAGCAGUAGGGAAUCUUCCGCAAUGGGCGAAAGCCUGACGGAGCAACGCCGCGUGAGUGAUGAAGGUCUUCGGAUCGUAAAACUCUGUUAUUAGGGAAGAACAAAUGUGUAAGUAACUAUGCACGUCUUGACGGUACCUAAUCAGAAAGCCACGGCUAACUACGUG